UAGAGGAGAGUUUUCCCAGAAGGUCCGGAGGUGCAGUCUGUUGUCUCUCCUCUGCCCCACACCCCCUUUCACUUCCUGCAUCAGAAUUUCCCAGAAUUGUUCCUGUCUCCAUCAUUGCACACCCAGGACUGGAGGUCUUCAUACUUCAUUGACAUGGUUGGACCCCCUGCAAGACUGUCAAAGCUGAAAUGGAAGCAGGGCCAGAGACCAGGCUGGAGCUGAGCAGUGGGAGACUUUGAAGAUUGGGACAAGAUGGGAGCUGAGGGAGAAGUGAUGGAGGGUGCUGACAACUGGGGUGCAGGAGAACAAGGUUGACCAGUGAGACAGAACACGUAUCGGAGCUAUAGACCACGAUUCCACAGGGGCCCUCCUCCCAAAAGACAGCCUACAGAGGACAGCAAUGAAGAGGAUAAGGAAAAUCAAGAGAUGAGAUUCAAGGUCAGCCGCCACCUCAACGUCGACAUCACUGUAGCUUUAAUUACUGAUGUAGAUGCUCAAUAAACCCUAAACCACAAGAUGGGAAAGAGCCCAAAGCAACUGACCCACCAGCUAAUUUGUUGACUCCAGAGGCUGAGAAGGGUGGGCUGAGUAAAUGCUGAUUUAUCAUGUCUACUAUCAUCCAGUUAAGUUACACAAAAGAGGAAAUUAAUUCAAAAUUCCAGUAAUCAGAAAUGAGCAAAAGUUUGGCCCUGAAAAUCUUAAGUGCUUGCUUUUUGGUUGUUGACCAGAUAACUGGAACUAUCUGCAUUAUCUAUACAGCAUGGGUUUUUAUUAUUUUUACUUAAAGAUAUCUCUUUUUGGUAAUGACAAAUAUGUUUUUUAAGCCAGAUUUUUCUCAAUACAUCUUUAAAGGUUUUAAAAUACUU
This is a long non-coding RNA of Phyllostomus hastatus (greater spear-nosed bat), 866 nucleotides long. RefSeq lists it as uncharacterized. Lineage: Eukaryota; Metazoa; Chordata; Mammalia; Chiroptera; Phyllostomidae. The record is from RefSeq and is a predicted model, not a curated record. The transcript is spliced from 3 exons.